GACUAGUCCAAGUGCAGUGGUAUUUACAACUAAUUGAUCACAACCAGUUACAGAUUCCUUUGUUCCAUCUCCACUCCCACUGCUUCACUUGACCAGCCUUAA
Molecule: Y RNA, 102 nt
Filed under: Propithecus coquereli (Coquerel's sifaka)
Lineage: Eukaryota; Metazoa; Chordata; Mammalia; Primates; Indriidae
Description: Y RNA (ENSPCOG00000009075.1)
Rfam family: Y RNA
About the family: Y RNAs are components of the Ro ribonucleoprotein particle (Ro RNP), in association with Ro60 and La proteins. The Y RNAs and Ro60 and La proteins are well conserved, but the function of the Ro RNP is not known.
Source: Rfam by way of RNAcentral